RNAcentral lists this ribosomal RNA (2925 nucleotides) under Klebsiella pneumoniae. RNAcentral describes it as "23S ribosomal RNA". It matches the Rfam family "Bacterial large subunit ribosomal RNA". The record is from RNAcentral. Lineage: Bacteria; Pseudomonadati; Pseudomonadota; Gammaproteobacteria; Enterobacterales; Enterobacteriaceae.
GGGUUGUGAGGUUAAGCGACUAAGCGUACACGGUGGAUGCCCUGGCAGUCAGAGGCGAUGAAGGACGUGCUAAUCUGCGAAAAGCGUCGGUAAGGUGAUAUGAACCGUUACAGCCGGCGAUGUCCGAAUGGGGAAACCCAGUGUGAUUCGUCACACUAUCGUUAACUGAAUACAUAGGUUAACGAGGCGAACCGGGGGAACUGAAACAUCUAAGUACCCCGAGGAAAAGAAAUCAACCGAGAUUCCCCCAGUAGCGGCGAGCGAACGGGGAGCAGCCCAGAGUCUGAAUCAGCUUGUGUGUUAGUGGAACGGUCUGGAAAGUCCGACGGUACAGGGUGAUAGUCCCGUACACCAAAAUGCACAGGCUGUGAACUCGAAGAGUAGGGCGGGACACGUGGUAUCCUGUCUGAAUAUGGGGGGACCAUCCUCCAAGGCUAAAUACUCCUGACUGACCGAUAGUGAACCAGUACCGUGAGGGAAAGGCGAAAAGAACCCCGGCGAGGGGAGUGAAAAAGAACCUGAAACCGUGUACGUACAAGCAGUGGGAGCACCUUCGGGUGUGACUGCGUACCUUUUGUAUAAUGGGUCAGCGACUUAUAUUCUGUAGCAAGGUUAACCGUAUAGGGGAGCCGCAGGGAAACCGAGUCUUAACUGGGCGUUAAGUUGCAGGGUAUAGACCCGAAACCCGGUGAUCUAGCCAUGGGCAGGUUGAAGGUUGGGUAACACUAACUGGAGGACCGAACCGACUAAUGUUGAAAAAUUAGCGGAUGACUUGUGGCUGGGGGUGAAAGGCCAAUCAAACCGGGAGAUAGCUGGUUCUCCCCGAAAGCUAUUUAGGUAGCGCCUCGUGAAUUCAUCUUCGGGGGUAGAGCACUGUUUCGGCUAGGGGGUCAUCCCGACUUACCAACCCGAUGCAAACUACGAAUACCGAAGAAUGUUAUCACGGGAGACACACGGCGGGUGCUAACGUCCGUCGUGAAGAGGGAAACAACCCAGACCGCCAGCUAAGGUCCCAAAGUCAUGGUUAAGUGGGAAACGAUGUGGGAAGGCACAGACAGCCAGGAUGUUGGCUUAGAAGCAGCCAUCAUUUAAAGAAAGCGUAAUAGCUCACUGGUCGAGUCGGCCUGCGCGGAAGAUGUAACGGGGCUAAACCAUGCACCGAAGCUGCGGCAGCGACACUAUGUGUUGUUGGGUAGGGGAGCGUUCUGUAAGCCUGCGAAGGUGUGCUGUGAGGCAUGCUGGAGGUAUCAGAAGUGCGAAUGCUGACAUAAGUAACGAUAAAGCGGGUGAAAAGCCCGCUCGCCGGAAGACCAAGGGUUCCUGUCCAACGUUAAUCGGGGCAGGGUGAGUCGACCCCUAAGGCGAGGCCGAAAGGCGUAGUCGAUGGGAAACAGGUUAAUAUUCCUGUACUUGGUGUUACUGCGAAGGGGGGACGGAGAAGGCUAUGUUAGCCGGGCGACGGUUGUCCCGGUUUAAGCAUGUAGGCUGAUUAUCCAGGCAAAUCCGGAUAAUCAAGGCUGAGGUGUGAUGACGAGGCACUACGGUGCUGAAGUAACAAAUGCCCUGCUUCCAGGAAAAGCCUCUAAGCAUCAGGUAACAUCAAAUCGUACCCCAAACCGACACAGGUGGUCAGGUAGAGAAUACCAAGGCGCUUGAGAGAACUCGGGUGAAGGAACUAGGCAAAAUGGUGCCGUAACUUCGGGAGAAGGCACGCUGGUGUGUAGGUGAAGUCCCUGCGGAUGGAGCUGAGACCAGUCGAAGAUACCAGCUGGCUGCAACUGUUUAUUAAAAACACAGCACUGUGCAAACACGAAAGUGGACGUAUACGGUGUGACGCCUGCCCGGUGCCGGAAGGUUAAUUGAUGGGGUUAUCCGUAAGGAGAAGCUCUUGAUCGAAGCCCCGGUAAACGGCGGCCGUAACUAUAACGGUCCUAAGGUAGCGAAAUUCCUUGUCGGGUAAGUUCCGACCUGCACGAAUGGCGUAAUGAUGGCCAGGCUGUCUCCACCCGAGACUCAGUGAAAUUGAACUCGCUGUGAAGAUGCAGUGUACCCGCGGCAAGACGGAAAGACCCCGUGAACCUUUACUAUAGCUUGACACUGAACAUUGAGCCUUGAUGUGUAGGAUAGGUGGGAGGCUUUGAAGCGUGGACGCCAGUCUGCGUGGAGCCAACCUUGAAAUACCACCCUUUAAUGUUUGAUGUUCUAACGUUGGCCCCUUACCGGGGUUGCGGACAGUGUCUGGUGGGUAGUUUGACUGGGGCGGUCUCCUCCCAAAGCGUAACGGAGGAGCACGAAGGUUAGCUAAUCCUGGUCGGACAUCAGGAGGUUAGUGCAAUGGCAUAAGCUAGCUUGACUGCGAGCGUGACGGCGCGAGCAGGUGCGAAAGCAGGUCAUAGUGAUCCGGUGGUUCUGAAUGGAAGGGCCAUCGCUCAACGGAUAAAAGGUACUCCGGGGAUAACAGGCUGAUACCGCCCAAGAGUUCAUAUCGACGGCGGUGUUUGGCACCUCGAUGUCGGCUCAUCACAUCCCCGGGGCUGAAGUAGGUCCCAAGGGUAUGGCUGUUCGCCAUUUAAAGUGGUACGCGAGCUGGGUUUAGAACGUCGUGAGACAGUUCGGUCCCCUAUCUGCCGUGGGCGCUGGAGAAUUGAGGGGGGCUGCUCCUAGUACGAGAGGACCGGAGUGGACGCAUCACUGGUGUUCGGGUUGUCAUGCCAAUGGCACUGCCCGGUAGCUAAAUGCGGAAGAGAUAAGUGCUGAAAGCAUCUAAGCACGAAACUUGCCCCGAGAUGAGUUCUCCCUGAGACUUUAAGUCUCCUGAAGGAACGUUAAAGACGAUGACGUUGAUAGGCCGGGUGUGUAAGCGCAGCGAUGCGUUGAGCUAACCGGUACUAAUGAACCGUGAGGCUUAACCUUACAACGCCGAAG